RNAcentral lists this ribosomal RNA (520 nucleotides) under Escherichia coli. RNAcentral's name for it is "partial 23S ribosomal RNA". It matches the Rfam family "Bacterial large subunit ribosomal RNA", at positions 1 to 560 of the family's 2925-position model. The record is from RNAcentral. Lineage: Bacteria; Pseudomonadati; Pseudomonadota; Gammaproteobacteria; Enterobacterales; Enterobacteriaceae.
GGUUAAGCGACUAAGCGUACACGGUGGAUGCCCUGGCAGUCAGAGGCGAUGAAGGACGUGCUAAUCUGCGAUAAGCGUCGGUAAGGUGAUAUGAACCGUUAUAACCGGCGAUUUCCGAAUGGGGAAACCCAGUGUGUUUCGACACACUAUCAUUAACUGAAUCCAUAGGUUAAUGAGGCGAACCGGGGGAACUGAAACAUCUAAGUACCCCGAGGAAAAGAAAUCAACCGAGAUUCCCCCAGUAGCGGCGAGCGAACGGGGAGCAGCCCAGAGCCUGAAUCAGUGUGUGUGUUAGUGGAAGCGUCUGGAAAGGCGCGCGAUACAGGGUGACAGCCCCGUACACAAAAAUGCACAUGCUGUGAGCUCGAUGAGUAGGGCGGGACACGUGGUAUCCUGUCUGAAUAUGGGGGGACCAUCCUCCAAGGCUAAAUACUCCUGACUGACCGAUAGUGAACCAGUACCGUGAGGGAAAGGCGAAAAGAACCCCGGCGAGGGGAGUGAAAAAGAACCUGAAACCGUG